RNA transcript from Gossypium arboreum, 1311 nucleotides. It is a transcript of the gene named putative BPI/LBP family protein At1g04970, with no coding region annotated. The record is from RefSeq and is a predicted model, not a curated record. The transcript has 8 exons. Lineage: Eukaryota; Viridiplantae; Streptophyta; Magnoliopsida; Malvales; Malvaceae.
UUUUUUUUUUAAAAACACCACAAAAAAUAUUCAAUAAAAAAAUGUCACCGUUUUAUCCCCAAAUUUCCCCCUGAAACCCUUAAUUUUUCCCCCUAAAAUCGAUAUCCUUAAAACCCUUUAGUGUUUCUCUUCGCCGCUUCUGCUACUUUCCAAUUUUCCCAAUUGAAUAUGAAGUGGAAGUAUUCUUACAAAGCAUGGAUAGUCACUAUUUCUGAUCAAGGAACUGCCACUGUUGAGGUUCUAGGCAUGGUGGUGUGGCUUAAAGCGACUGUUAUAAACGAAGAAGGAACUCUCAAGCUAUUUUUAUCAGACUAUGAAUGUCAUGUGAAAGAUAUCUCCAUAAGUGUAGAUGGUGGAGCUUCUUGGCUUUAUCAAGGGUAUGCUAUCGUUGCCUAUUCGGACAACUAUGCCAAUCCAACUCUUCAUUUUUAUUGAAGCAUCCACGUCCCACAAAUGUUCAGACAUCAUUGAUGCUUUUCGAGGGAAAAUCAUGUCUGAAGUUGAAGAUGCGAUUAUCAAGAAGAUCAAAGAAGGAAUAAUAAAGCUUGACUCAUUGUUGCAGUCGCUUCCAAAACAACUACAAGUUAAUAGUGUUGUUGCAUUGAAUGUGACUAUCAUAGAUGAAAUUAAUGGUUUAUUCAACGGAGCAGAUGAAAUUUCAGUUUCAAACUAUUACAGUAAAAGAGCACGGAAUUUCCUUUCCUGCAAUGGUUUCUGCUUGGAUUGUGCUAUUUCUUUUGUCUCUUGGCAUUUGUUAUGUUUAACAGUUUCUUAUGAUGUUCUGUAGGUUUUAUUUGCCCUUAACUGUACAGAUUUGUAUUGAUGACAGAACUAGCAGGCAUGGUUAUUGUUCCUUUACACUGGUUUGUCUAUGCGAGAGAACAUAUUGCGAGCAAAUGGAAGUGAUAUUCGUCCAUGAAUCAACUUAUAGUUAGAAUCAAUUUCUGAGCUUCAGAAAAAGGGCAAUGAGAUUGAAUGAGAGUGUUAUUUUAAGAGAGUACACUGGACAACGAUAUGAAAUUGAGACACCCAUGACGUCUUGGGUGAGUAAAAUACCAGAGUAUCCUCAUCCAGUGGCAUCUUCCAUAUCCAGCAGAGUGAUGGUAGAGCUUGGAAUGGUGACUGCUGUAAUUACUGCCGUAGCAGUUCUUGUUGUAGGGUUUCUAGUAGCUGCUGCAUUUGCUGUCACCAGUUUUAAAUUUAAAUGUAUUAAAUUACAUAUUAAAUUACAUAUUGAAUCAAUGUUUAUGUAUUAAAUUUAAAUUCAUUAAUUUUUAUAUUUAGUUUUAAAGUUAAAAUUUUAAUAGAAAA